AACGUAGGUGGCAAGCGUUGUCCGGAAUUACUGGGUGUAAAGGGAGCGCAGGCGGAUUGGCAAGUUGAAUGUGAAAACUAUGGGCUCAACCCAUAGACUGCGUUCAAAACUGCUGAUCUUGAGUGAUGUAGAGGUAGGCGGAAUUCCCGGUGUAGCGGUGGAAUGCGUAGAUAUCGGGAGGAACACCAGUGGCGAAGGCGGCCUACUGGGCAUUAACUGACGCUGAGGCUCGAAAGUAUGGGGAGCAAAC
This 250-nucleotide ribosomal RNA is filed under the name uncultured bacterium. Its description in RNAcentral is "partial 16S ribosomal RNA". It matches the Rfam family "Bacterial small subunit ribosomal RNA", at positions 524 to 773 of the family's 1533-position model. The record is from RNAcentral.